UACGGAGGAUGCGAGCGUUAUCCGGAUUUAUUGGGUUUAAAGGGAACGCAGGCGGUCUUUUAAGUCUGAUGUGAAAGCCUUCGGCUUAACCGGAGUAGUGCAUUGGAAACUGGGAGACUUGAGUGCAGAAGAGGAGAGUGGAACUCCAUGUGUAGCGGUGAAAUGCUUAGAUAUCACGAAGAACCCCGAUUGCGAAGGCAGCCUGCCGCAGCGUUACUGACGCUGAAGCUCGAAAGCGCGGGUAUCGAACAGG
Molecule: ribosomal RNA, 253 nt
Filed under: uncultured bacterium
Lineage: Bacteria
Description: partial 16S ribosomal RNA
Rfam family: Bacterial small subunit ribosomal RNA
Source: RNAcentral